CCUANGGGAGGCUGCAGUGGGGAAUUUUUGGCAAUGGGGGAAACCCUGACCAAGCAACGCCGCGUGGGUGAUGAAGUAUCUUGGUACGUAAAACCCUUUCGGCAGGGACGAAGAAUGUGACGGUACCUGCGGAAGAAGCUCCGGCUAACUCCGUGCCAGCAGCCGCGGUAAUACGGGGGGAGCGAGCGUUGUUCGGAAUUACUGGGCGUAAAGGGCGCGCAGGCGGUUGGAUAAGAGAGUGGUGAAAACCCCGGGCUCAACCUGGGGCCGGCCACGCAGACUGUCCGGCUGGAGUGUGGGGAGGGAAGUGGAAUUCCUGGUGUAGCGGUGAAAUGCGUAGAUAGCAGGAGGAACACCGGUGGCGAAGGCGGCUUCCUGGACCACAACUGACGCUGAGGCGCGAAAGCCAGGGGAGCAAACAGGAUUAGAUACCCCANUAGUC
Molecule: ribosomal RNA, 442 nt
Filed under: uncultured bacterium
Lineage: Bacteria
Description: bacterial SSU rRNA
Rfam family: Bacterial small subunit ribosomal RNA
Source: RNAcentral